ACGGCAGCACAGGGGAGCUUGCUCCCUGGGUGGCGAGUGGCGGACGGGUGAGGAAUACAUCGGAAUCUGCCCCAAUCGUGGGGGAUAACCUCGGGAAACCGGGACUAAUUCCGCAUACGACCUACGGGUGAAAGCAGGGGACCUUCGGGCCUUGCGCGAUUGGAUGAGCCGAUGUCGGAUUAGCUAGUUGGCGGGGUAAAGGCCCACCAAGGCGACGAUCCGUAGCUGGUCUGAGAGGGGGAUCCCCCACACUGGUACUGAGACACGGACCAGACUCCUACGGGAGGCAGCAGUGAGGAAUAUUGGACAAUGGGCGGGAGCCUGAUCCAGCCAUGCCGCGUGCAGGAAGACUGCCCUAUGGGUUGUAAACUGCUUUUUUACGGGAAGAAACACCCCCACGUGUGGGGGCUUGACGGUACCGUACGAAUAAGGAUCGGCUAACUCCGUGCCAGCAGCCGCGGUAAUACGGAGGAUCCAAGCGUUAUCCGGAAUCAUUGGGUUUAAAGGGUCCGUAGGCGGGCGUCUAAGUCAGUGGUGAAAUUCUGCAGCUCAACUGUAGGACUGCCAUUGAUACUGGUCGCCUUGAAUCGUUGUGAAGUGGCUAGAAUAUGUAGUGUAGCGGUGAAAUGCUUAGAUAUUACAUAGAAUACCGAUUGCGAAGGCAGGUCACUAACAACGCAUUGACGCUGAUGGACGAAAGCGUGGGGAGCGAACAGGAUUAGAUACCCUGGUAGUCCACGCCGUAAACGAUGGAUACUAGCUGUCCGGCCUGCAUUGGUAGGCUGGGUGGCCAAGCGAAAGUGAUAAGUAUCCCACCUGGGGAGUACGUUCGCAAGAAUGAAACUCAAAGGAAUUGACGGGGGCCCGCACAAGCGGUGGAGCAUGUGGUUUAAUUCGAUGAUACGCGAGGAACCUUACCAGGGCUUAAAUGUAGUCUGACAGGGGUGGAAACACCCUUUUCUUCGGACAGAUUACAAGGUGCUGCAUGGUUGUCGUCAGCUCGUGCCGUGAGGUGUCAGGUUAAGUCCUAUAACGAGCGCAACCCCUGUUGUUAGUUGCCAGCGAGUAGUGUCGGGA
RNAcentral lists this ribosomal RNA (1077 nucleotides) under uncultured Aequorivita sp. RNAcentral describes it as "bacterial SSU rRNA". It matches the Rfam family "Bacterial small subunit ribosomal RNA", at positions 66 to 1136 of the family's 1533-position model. The record is from RNAcentral. Lineage: Bacteria; Pseudomonadati; Bacteroidota; Flavobacteriia; Flavobacteriales; Flavobacteriaceae.